CUUAUCUUAUCACAGUGUAUCGAAUAAUUAUAACAUUCGCUUCGGUUUUAGCUAGUUUGAGCUCGAACGUAGUGCUCACAUAAGCCUUAAUUAUCUUGUCCUUUCUGAUAUGUGAAAUAUUGCCUUACAGCGUAGUUUUUCAAGUUGAAAAUUGCAUUCGUUUUCGUACGUGAAUAUGUUCACUUUGUCGUAGGUAUUUUUUCGUUCAUUUUUGAUCGUGAUGUGUCGAAUUUUGCACUACAUAUUUUUGCCAGUGAAAAUAAUCAUUUCGGUUCGAAGUGUUUUUCGAGGAUGCAAACGAGCUCGUGUUUUUGAAAAAUAAUUUUUGCUGUAUUUAGGUAAAUAUGAUCUUCAUAAAUAUACGUAAGAGUGAGUGAUGAAUUUCAAACAAGAUACCUAUUUGAGGAUGAGAAAUACUUCAAAAAAGUAUGUACUUGUUAUAAUAAUUAUGUUUAUUAUUCGUGAAAAUGGAUCUUCUCGUCCCAUUCUAAAUUUU
This is a long non-coding RNA of Planococcus citri (citrus mealybug), 496 nucleotides long. RefSeq lists it as uncharacterized. The record is from RefSeq and is a predicted model, not a curated record. The transcript has 2 exons. NCBI's taxonomy places the organism in Eukaryota, Metazoa, Arthropoda, Insecta, Hemiptera, Pseudococcidae.